Molecule: non-coding RNA, 103 nt
Filed under: Clostridium colicanis DSM 13634
Lineage: Bacteria; Bacillati; Bacillota; Clostridia; Eubacteriales; Clostridiaceae
Description: SAM riboswitch aptamer (S box leader)
Rfam family: SAM riboswitch aptamer (S box leader)
About the family: The SAM riboswitch is found upstream of a number of genes which code for proteins involved in methionine or cysteine biosynthesis in Gram-positive bacteria. The SAM riboswitch acts at the level of transcription termination control.
Source: Rfam by way of RNAcentral
UUCUUAUCAAGAGAGGUGGAGGGACUGGCCCUAUGAAACCCAGCAACCUAGAGCCAUGCUCAGUGGUGCUAAUUCCAACAGGUGUAUUCCUGGCAGAUAAGUA